RNAcentral lists this ribosomal RNA (301 nucleotides) under uncultured bacterium. Its description in RNAcentral is "partial 16S ribosomal RNA". It matches the Rfam family "Bacterial small subunit ribosomal RNA", at positions 509 to 807 of the family's 1533-position model. The record is from RNAcentral.
CAGCCGCCACGGUAAUACGUAGGGUGCAAGCGUUAAUCGGAAUUACUGGGCGUAAAGCGUGCGCAGGCGGUUCGCUAAGACAGAUGUGAAAUCCCCGGGCUCAACCUGGGAACUGCAUUUGUGACUGUAUAGCUAGAGUACGGCAGAGGGGGAUGGAAUUCCGCGUGUAGCAGUGAAAUGCGUAGGUAUGAGGAGGAACACCGAUGGCGAAGGCAAUCCCCUGGGCCUGUACUGACGCUCAUGCACGAAAGCGUGGGGAGCAAACAGGAUUAGAGACCCGCGUAGUCCCUGUCUCUUAUAC